AUGUUUAGAUUAAGGUCAACGUCAGUUCAGAGCACGGCUUCCCAGUCGAACGCAUGGCCACAUGGAGCCCUCCAGCCCGCGCCCUGCCCUCCCCGAAACCUGCUCCUGCAGUAGUGGAACCCUGUCUCCUGCCGUCUGACGACCACUCAGUCAUUUCUCCAAUCCCGGUCUAGAUGCAUAGGGGCCUCACAGUUAUUAACCAGUAACUCUUGAGAAAGAACUUGAUCAAGUAGGGUUCUCUGCUGGCUAGGUGUCUUUUCCUGUAGUUGCACAGAUUCCAGUCAUUUCCAAAGGUCCUUAGGUCAGCACCACUUCCCCCACCACUUGCAGUGAGUUUGUUUCUUCCAUUCUCAAUACGGUUAGGCUCUCUAGUCUCAUCUGCAUUCCAUCCAAGGAUCCACCCACCUAAAUCAUUUUACUAAUUUGUGUAAGUCAAGAUUUGCUCUUUCCACUGUAAAAAUCUGGGGAUUUUGUCAAAGGCAGAGAGGCAAGUAUCCACCAUUAAAGCAUCACACGGAUUUAAUGACCUCUUCAUCCCUCUCCCCCAACACCAGGCCUGCACAGCUCUGGGAAGCUGAUCUGUGUAUCAAAUUGAUAGCUUUGUGUUUGCAGAAUGCCGUAUCAAUGAGACCGUACUCUACCCAGCCUUCGCAGAUGCUUCUUUCUGUUAGAAAGGUGAAUUUGAGAUUCCUCCAUGUUGUUGGCACCUGAUAGCAUUACAUUGCAUGGAUGUACCUCAUUUGGGUGUCCUUUCAUUUAUGGAAGGUUAUCUUUGUUCAUUCAAGUUCCCUGCCUGUAUAAAUGAGGAGCAGUCUAUAUAUGUGUGCUGGCUUUUUUGUUGACGUUCUAUUUGAAAACAUUGUGUAAAUACCUAGGAAGAUGGUUGAGGGAUCACGUGUUAAGAUGAUGUUUAGCUCUGUAAGAAAGUGCCCAAGUGUCUUCCACAGUGGCUGCACCACUCGGCAUGGGCAGCAGUGACGACAGAGAGUCUGUGCUGUCCUACCCCCCAGCCAUGAAUUGAUCUCGUGUAUUUGUGUGUCAAGGCGUCUCACUUUGUUUCAACUUGCUUCUCUCUAAUGAUAAGUGAUUUUGAGCAUCUUCUUGCAUGCUUAUUGUAUGCUUAUACCUUCAUUAGCGAGGUGUCUGUUCAGAUCUUUACCCAUUUUUCAUUGGAAUGUUUGUUUUCUUAUUGUUGAAUUUAUGAUGCUUUGUACAUUUUAAUACAAGCCCUUUCUUAGACAGGCUUCUUCCAAAGAUUUCGCACAGUCUAGGGUUGGUCUUUUUCUUCUCUUAACAGUGAUUAUCAUAGAGUAGAAAAUUUUAAUUCUAACAAAGUCCACCUUAACUGGAUUUUUCUUUGAAGACUCGUUCUUUCAAUGUUGAAGAUAAAAGGUCAUUAUGAAAACUGAGGUCAUAUCUUCUCCUUUGCUAGUUCUAGAAUUUUGAGAGUUUCGCAGUUUAUGUUUACAUCAAUGAACAAUUUUUGUGAGGUGCAUCUGGGUGACAUAAACAAGCAUCUUCAGUCAUACAUCAAACAAGUUCAGAGACGCUAACGUUAUCUACGUGUGGAGGGAGACGAGGACCAGGGUCGUUAAUUAUUCCCACAAUCUCUAAGCAAUGCAGCGGGGGAGGGUGAGAGCGAGCUGCCCUUCACCUCUUCCUGCUCUGCAGAGGUCCAACUGGCGUCUUCAGUCAUGAGACGUGGGGACGCAAGGUCGUGUGACACAGGCUGAAGAUGGCCUGCACGGCUCUUGCACAGCACAGCGUGGGUGUUAUCGGACUGACUUAACGCCUAUGCAGUUUGCGGGCGAGAUUCACCCACUGGACCAGGGAGAGGGGUUCCAGAAAC
Molecule: long non-coding RNA, 1849 nt
Organism: Equus caballus (horse)
Lineage: Eukaryota; Metazoa; Chordata; Mammalia; Perissodactyla; Equidae
Source: Ensembl